Molecule: ribosomal RNA, 465 nt
Filed under: uncultured Veillonella sp.
Lineage: Bacteria; Bacillati; Bacillota; Negativicutes; Veillonellales; Veillonellaceae
Description: bacterial SSU rRNA
Rfam family: Bacterial small subunit ribosomal RNA
Source: RNAcentral
CCUACGGGUGGCAGCAGUGGGGAAUCUUCCGCAAUGGACGAAAGUCUGACGGAGCAACGCCGCGUGAGUGAUGACGGCCUUCGGGUUGUAAAGCUCUGUUAAUCGGGACGAAUGGUUCUUGUGCAAAUAGUGCGAGGAUUUGACGGUACCGGAAUAGAAAGCCACGGCUAACUACGUGCCAGCAGCCGCGGUAAUACGUAGGUGGCAAGCGUUGUCCGGAAUUAUUGGGCGUAAAGCGCGCGCAGGCGGAUUGGUCAGUCUGUCUUAAAAGUUCGGGGCUUAACCCCGUGAUGGGAUGGAAACUGCCAAUCUAGAGUAUCGGAGAGGAAAGUGGAAUUCCUAGUGUAGCGGUGAAAUGCGUAGAUAUUAGGAAGAACACCAGUGGCGAAGGCGACUUUCUGGACGAAAACUGACGCUGAGGCGCGAAAGACAGGGGAGCGAACGGGAUUAGAUACCCCAGUAGUC